RNAcentral lists this unclassified non-coding RNA (368 nucleotides) under Hevea brasiliensis (rubber tree). Lineage: Eukaryota; Viridiplantae; Streptophyta; Magnoliopsida; Malpighiales; Euphorbiaceae. The record is from RNAcentral.
AAGAUAUCAUAAACAGCCUAGCUGGGUGAAGCUUGUAAUAACUAUGAAUUCGUUUUCCUAAUGAUUUAAGCAUCUUGACAGGAUAAAAAUUCGAUUUUUUCGCCUUUCUUGAUCUUUUAACAGUACCUGAUUCCAAAUCAAAAUCGCCCCUUAAAUAGGCCUGGAAAGAUUUAGGACUACCAGACCCACCUGAAUAGUUUUUCUUCAUAUGGGUUUGAUAAAGGCAGAUAAUUCAAACAUACCCAGAUACAAAAUUGGGGAAUAAUUCAGUGGAAGCAUGAAAUUAUCAUUCUAACAAAAUGCAAGCAAAUUGGGAUUCUCAAAGCACCAUUCAAUUGAAUCUAACAGAUAAAAAUUAGGGAAUGAAA